This is a long non-coding RNA of Sorghum bicolor (sorghum), 321 nucleotides long. RefSeq lists it as uncharacterized. Lineage: Eukaryota; Viridiplantae; Streptophyta; Magnoliopsida; Poales; Poaceae. The transcript has 2 exons. The record is from RefSeq and is a predicted model, not a curated record.
CUAGGGAAUGUUACACCAAAUUUUAUUUCUCCAAAACAUUUGCUUGAUGCUGCGGCAAGGAAACGAUCAGCCAGAAAGAAUUGAAUGACAAAUGCAAAGUUUGAGUGGAGAGGGUCUGAUGGGAUUGACCAAAUGAGGCCAAGUCAAGCCAAGUGAAGCCGCAACAUCUUAGAUGUUUUGGUUUAGAAACAAAUGUCUUGGAUAUUUUUUGUUUGAAUAAUGUUUGUGUUGUCUCAGUUUGAAUUUUUGGAUCGUUUAUUCUACAUGUAACAAAUGAACAAGUUAUGAUUUAAUGGCUUUACCAAAUGGUUUGUUUAUGUC